UACGGGGGGAGCAAGCGUUGUCCGGAUUUACUGGGCGUAAAGAGCGCGCAGGCGGUCGUUCAAGUCGAGUGUGAAAGCCCCCGGCUCAACUGGGGAGGGUCACUCGAUACUGAUCGACUUGAAGGCAGGAGAGGGAAGCGGAAUUCCCGGUGUAGUGGUGAAAUGCGUAGAUAUCGGGAGGAACACCAGUGGCGAAGGCGGCUUCCUGGCCUGUUCUUGACGCUAAGGCGCGAAAGCUAGGGGAGCAAACGGG
This 253-nucleotide ribosomal RNA is filed under the name uncultured bacterium. RNAcentral's name for it is "partial 16S ribosomal RNA". It matches the Rfam family "Bacterial small subunit ribosomal RNA", at positions 524 to 776 of the family's 1533-position model. The record is from RNAcentral.